This 497-nucleotide ribosomal RNA is filed under the name uncultured bacterium. RNAcentral describes it as "partial 16S ribosomal RNA". It matches the Rfam family "Bacterial small subunit ribosomal RNA", at positions 28 to 507 of the family's 1533-position model. The record is from RNAcentral.
GAUGAACGCUGGCGGCGUGCCUAAUACAUGCAAGUCGAGCGAACAGAUAAGGAGCUUGCUCCUUUGACGUUAGCGGCGGACGGGUGAGUAACACGUGGAUAACCUACCUAUAAGACUGGGAUAACUUCGGGAAACCGGAGCUAAUACCGGAUAACAUAUUGAACCGCAUGGUUCAAUAGUGAAAGGCGGCUUUGCUGUCACUUAUAGAUGGAUCCGCGCCGUAUUAGCUAGUUGGUAAGGUAACGGCUUACCAAGGCAACGAUACGUAGCCGACCUGAGAGGGUGAUCGGCCACACUGGAACUGAGACACGGUCCAGACUCCUACGGGAGGCAGCAGUAGGGAAUCUUCCGCAAUGGGCGUAAGCCUGACGGAGCAACGCCGCGUGAGUGAUGAAGGUCUUCGGAUCGUAAAACUCUGUUAUCAGGGAAGAACAAAUGUGUAAGUAAAUGUGCACAUCUUGACGGUACCUGAUCAGAAAGCCACGGCUAACUACGUG